Leopardus geoffroyi (Geoffroy's cat) is the source of this 1617-nucleotide long non-coding RNA. RefSeq lists it as uncharacterized. The record is from RefSeq and is a predicted model, not a curated record. Lineage: Eukaryota; Metazoa; Chordata; Mammalia; Carnivora; Felidae. The transcript has 3 exons.
UGCUGGCUCCCAGAGUUCCCCGAUGGGAUUAAGCUCCAAUUGACUAUAGUAGUAACUUGUGUGAAAACACAUCCUCCAUCGACUGCCUUCUUUUCCCUGUCUCGUUCCCUCAAGCUCCAAAUGGUGCCACCUGGGAUCGUCUCCCAAGUAAUCUACUUGUACUCGAGAUCUUUGUGUCAGGGUCUCCUCGUGCGGGAAGCCAAGCUAACGCACGCGACUAUCUCCCCCACUUCCGGGUCUCUGUCUAUGCGGUUAAAAUGAGACCGACCCCCAUCCCCCAACUCCAGGGAUGGGCACAUGACUCGGAGCUGACCAAUCACACCACCAUACCUCUUUGGCUACAGUGAUUGGUUCAGGGGUCGUCACGUGACCCCCAACCAGGCCAAUGACAGCUUCUUCCUGGACUUCUACCGAGACGACUGGGAACAGGAGCCUUUUUCUGCUGCGGUCCCCAAACUCUUGGGACGUUAGGUUGGGGGCCGGUGUUCUCUGAGGAUGAAGCCGCCUCAGAGGAUGCUGGUGCUGAGCUGAGGAAGCGAAAUCAGAUCCAGGUGGCCUUAUGUGCAUCCCUGGUUCCAACGCAGUGUAUAAUUUUAAGUGCCGUUUAUUAGCCUGGUCCAUCCUGAGCUCUCUUGCUCCCCACAGGCAGGCCUAUUUCCCAUAGCUCCUCGGGUUUGCCCUCCCUAUCUGGCCCCUCAAGUGACAGGGUUUGCAGUCCCUGGGUUUGGCCGGGAAAUCGUUCUUGCCUGAGUAUUCUGCGUUGCUUUAGCAACAUUGUGGAGCAAGGGGAGUUACCAACGUUCAAGGUGGCGGAAUAACCUGUUUGAGAAAUCAACUACUUUUCAUUUCCUCAACUCCAGAGUCAUUGGGAAAGAAUGAAAGAACCGAAUUUUGCGGGGCCAAGGAGCAGCGUGCAAGGCCCAGAGGAUGAAUUCUUUUUGGUCUAAGCCAGCAUGGGAAUCCUGUGUCCUUUUGACCUAGUCUUGGGGACGUGACUUUUGGAGCUAGAGCACUUACUUUGAGACUCUAAGGGAAUGGCCGAGGGAAUCCUCAAGAAACUGACCCGUUGCCCUAAUACUGAGAUGCCGAAGUUCUCAAUCCCAAAACAUUUUACUUACUGACUUACUGUUACCUGAGAUAAUAAAGAUCGACAUUUAAGGCUCUCUUAACUGAGUGUCAGGUUACCUGCAGCCCAAACGUGCCCUAACGGAUCCACCUGCAGACUUUAGAAGUUUAAAGCACGGAAGGCAGAACAAAAAAGGCUGCCGCUUCUCUGAGAUUGUUCUGGUUCUACAGCCGGUCAGGCUUCUCCCACUUUGCUCUUUGACUCUUUCCUCGUGAAGCUCUUGCAGCUGAAUAAGCAUUAAUAAUUCAUCAGGACCCCACCACUCUGGGCUGAAUUGUGUAAACUUCCUUGUUAGUCUGAAGGUUUCCUGAAGCCCUGUGCAAGCAUUUACCGUGUAGAGGGUAAGACGGGGCUAACCUAGGAGUUUGGCCUCUAACGUUGUAAUUUUUGUGUUGAAUUUUUUUUUUUAUUUGUUAAUAAUAUCAAACCUACAGAAGAGUUGGAUGAAUAAAAAUGGGACAAAGAACACCUAAGAGAAAGCAUGAGCAGGA